RNAcentral lists this ribosomal RNA (932 nucleotides) under Pseudocercospora glauca. RNAcentral's name for it is "LSU rRNA". It matches the Rfam family "Eukaryotic large subunit ribosomal RNA", at positions 24 to 981 of the family's 3401-position model. Lineage: Eukaryota; Fungi; Ascomycota; Dothideomycetes; Mycosphaerellales; Mycosphaerellaceae. The record is from RNAcentral.
UACCCCGCUGGGAUUAAGCAUAUCAAUAAGCGGAGGAAAAAGAAACCAACAGGGAUUGCCCUAGUAACGGCGAGUGAAGCGGCAACAGCUCAAAUUUGAAAUCUGGCGUAAGCCCGAGUUGUAAUUUGUAGAGGAUGCUUCUGGGUAGCGGCCGGUCUAAGUUCCUUGGAACAGGACGUCAUAGAGGGUGAGAAUCCCGUAUGUGACUGGCUUGCACCCUCCACGUAGCUCCUUCGACGAGUCGAGUUGUUUGGGAAUGCAGCUCUAAAUGGGAGGUAAAUUUCUUCUAAAGCUAAAUACCGGCCAGAGACCGAUAGCGCACAAGUAGAGUGAUCGAAAGAUGAAAAGCACUUUGGAAAGAGAGUUAAAAAGCACGUGAAAUUGUUGAAAGGGAAGCGCCCGCAACCAGACUUUGCGGCGGUGUUCGGCUGGUCUUCUGACCGGUUUACUCGCCGCCGUGAGGCCAUCAUCGUCUGGGACCGCUGGAUAAGACCUGAGGAAUGUAGCUCCCUUCGGGGUGUGUUAUAGCCUCUGGUGAUGCAGCGCGUCUCGGGCGAGGUCCGCGCUUCGGCAAGGAUGAUGGCGUAAUGGUUGUCGGCGGCCCGUCUUGAAACACGGACCAAGGAGUCUAACAUCUAUGCGAGUGUUCGGGUGUCAAACCCCUACGCGUAAUGAAAGUGAACGGAGGUGGGAACUUUUUGUGCACCAUCGACCGAUCCUGAUGUCCUCGGAUGGAUUUGAGUAAGAGCAUAGCUGUUGGGACCCGAAAGAUGGUGAACUAUGCCUGAAUAGGGUGAAGCCAGAGGAAACUCUGGUGGAGGCUCGCAGCGGUUCUGACGUGCAAAUCGAUCGUCAAAUUUGGGUAUAGGGGCGAAAGACUAAUCGAACCAUCUAGUAGCUGGUUUCCUGCCGAAGUCCCCCCUUCAAGGAAA